Non-coding RNA from Paramormyrops kingsleyae, 534 nucleotides. NCBI's taxonomy places the organism in Eukaryota, Metazoa, Chordata, Actinopteri, Osteoglossiformes, Mormyridae. The record is from RefSeq and is a predicted model, not a curated record.
CGCUGGCGCUACCCUUACAUGUAUCUGCGCGUCCGCCAUAUUGAAGCAGUCGAGAGUCUAGUAAACAAAUAUAAUAAUGAAUAUUGUAUGGGGCGUUAUUUAGGUCUUUAUUAACAUGCUCCUUCAGCAUAUAGACAUUCUCGCUUUGCGUGAGAAAGCCGGGUGAAGAAGUACUUGGUGAACAUUCACAUGCUGAAUGAAUUUACGCUUGCUGUAAUGUGAAACAAGCGUACUCGGGAUGAAAUCAUUUUGCAUCGAUGUUACGUUGUGCUUUCGGAAGGUGCAGUAGCAAGGGUUCGGAUUUACGUCGUCAUGGAAACAGUUUCGCGCAGCUACAAAAAAGUCACAGCAGCCAUCUGCGAUCGAUGGAGGAGACACCGAGCAGAAGUGGGAAUUAGUGAUGUCACACUAGAGGACAUCCUGAUCUUUGGUACAGGAAGUGACUCUAUCCCCUGCUGUUGGCUUUGACCUUCAUCCUGCAGUCCAGUCUCUACAUGAUUCAUCCCAAGUCAAUACAUGUGCUGAUAUCCUUAA